AUGACAAGCAUGACCAAAAAUCAGUUUGGUUUCAUGCCUGGGAGGUCGACCAUGGAAGCCAUUUUCAUGGUACGACAACUUAUGGAGAGAUAUAGGGAGCAAAAGAAGGACUUACAUAUGGUGUUCAUUGACUUGGAGAUGGCCUAUGAUAAGAUACCACGGAAUGUCAUGUGGUGGGCCUUGGAGAAACACAAAGUCCCAUCAAAGUACAUUACCCUCAUCAAGGACAUGUAUGAUAAUGUUGUGGCAAGUGUUCGAACAAGUGAUGUCGACACUGAUGACUUCCCGAUUAAGAUAGGACUGCAUCAGGGGUCAGCUUUGAGCCCUUAUCUUUUUUGCAUUGGUGAUGGAUGA
Molecule: ribosomal RNA, 354 nt
Filed under: Triticum aestivum (bread wheat)
Lineage: Eukaryota; Viridiplantae; Streptophyta; Magnoliopsida; Poales; Poaceae
Description: partial small subunit ribosomal RNA
Source: RNAcentral